GACCAUGUGAAUGCGAGCAAAUCCCAAAAAUAACGUCUCAGUUCGGAUUGUAGUCUGCAACUCGACUACAUGAAGCUGGAAUCGCUAGUAAUCGCGAAUCAGAAUGUCGCGGUGAAUACGUUCCCGGGUCUUGUACACACCGCCCGUCACACCAUGGGAGUCAGUAACGCCCGAAGCCGGUGACCCAACCAAACGGAGGGAGCCGUCGAAGGUGGGACCGAUAACUGGGGUGAAGUCGUAACAAGGUAGC
This 250-nucleotide ribosomal RNA is filed under the name uncultured bacterium. RNAcentral's name for it is "partial 16S ribosomal RNA". It matches the Rfam family "Bacterial small subunit ribosomal RNA", at positions 1251 to 1500 of the family's 1533-position model. The record is from RNAcentral.